This 253-nucleotide ribosomal RNA is filed under the name uncultured archaeon. Its description in RNAcentral is "partial 16S ribosomal RNA". It matches the Rfam family "Archaeal small subunit ribosomal RNA", at positions 474 to 727 of the family's 1478-position model. The record is from RNAcentral.
AACCAGCACCUCAAGUGGUCAGGAUGAUUAUUGGGCCUAAAGCAUCCGUAGCCGGCUCUGUAAGUUUUCGGUUAAAUCUGUACGCUCAACGUACAGGCUGCCGGGAAUACUGCAGAGCUAGGGAGUGGGAGAGGUAGACGGUACUCGGUAGGAAGGGGUAAAAUCCUUUGAUCUAUUGAUGACCACCUGUGGCGAAAGCGACUUACUGGGACAGUUCUGACGCUAAGGGACGAAAGCGUGGGGAGCGAACCGG